Molecule: ribosomal RNA, 1772 nt
Filed under: soil metagenome
Description: bacterial LSU rRNA
Rfam family: Bacterial large subunit ribosomal RNA
Source: RNAcentral
UACAGGGUGACAGCCCCGUACACAAAAAUGCACAUGCUGUGAGCUCGAUGAGUAGGGCGGGACACGUGGUAUCCUGUCUGAAUAUGGGGGGACCAUCCUCCAAGGCUAAAUACUCCUGACUGACCGAUAGUGAACCAGUACCGUGAGGGAAAGGCGAAAAGAACCCCGGCGAGGGGAGUGAAAAAGAACCUGAAACCGUGUACGUACAAGCAGUGGGAGCACGCUUAGGCGUGUGACUGCGUACCUUUUGUAUAAUGGGUCAGCGACUUAUAUUCUGUAGCAAGGUUAACCGAAUAGGGGAGCCGAAGGGAAACCGAGUCUUAACUGGGCGUUAAGUUGCAGGGUAUAGACCCGAAACCCGGUGAUCUAGCCAUGGGCAGGUUGAAGGUUGGGUAACACUAACUGGAGGACCGAACCGACUAAUGUUGAAAAAUUAGCGGAUGACUUGUGGCUGGGGGUGAAAGGCCAAUCAAACCGGGAGAUAGCUGGUUCUCCCCGAAAGCUAUUUAGGUAGCGCCUCGUGAAUUCAUCUCCGGGGGUAGAGCACUGUUUCGGCAAGGGGGUCAUCCCGACUUACCAACCCGAUGCAAACUGCGAAUACCGGAGAAUGUUAUCACGGGAGACACACGGCGGGUGCUAACGUCCGUCGUGAAGAGGGAAACAACCCAGACCGCCAGCUAAGGUCCCAAAGUCAUGGUUAAGUGGGAAACGAUGUGGGAAGGCCCAGACAGCCAGGAUGUUGGCUUAGAAGCAGCCAUCAUUUAAAGAAAGCGUAAUAGCUCACUGGUCGAGUCGGCCUGCGCGGAAGAUGUAACGGGGCUAAACCAUGCACCGAAGCUGCGGCAGCGACGCUUAUGCGUUGUUGGGUAGGGGAGCGUUCUGUAAGCCUGCGAAGGUGUGCUGUGAGGCAUGCUGGAGGUAUCAGAAGUGCGAAUGCUGACAUAAGUAACGAUAAAGCGGGUGAAAAGCCCGCUCGCCGGAAGACCAAGGGUUCCUGUCCAACGUUAAUCGGGGCAGGGUGAGUCGACCCCUAAGGCGAGGCCGAAAGGCGUAGUCGAUGGGAAACAGGUUAAUAUUCCUGUACUUGGUGUUACUGCGAAGGGGGGACGGAGAAGGCUAUGUUGGCCGGGCGACGGUUGUCCCGGUUUAAGCGUGUAGGCUGGUUUUCCAGGCAAAUCCGGAAAAUCAAGGCUGAGGCGUGAUGACGAGGCACUACGGUGCUGAAGCAACAAAUGCCCUGCUUCCAGGAAAAGCCUCUAAGCAUCAGGUAACAUCAAAUCGUACCCCAAACCGACACAGGUGGUCAGGUAGAGAAUACCAAGGCGCUUGAGAGAACUCGGGUGAAGGAACUAGGCAAAAUGGUGCCGUAACUUCGGGAGAAGGCACGCUGAUAUGUAGGUGAGGUCCCUCGCGGAUGGAGCUGAAAUCAGUCGAAGAUACCAGCUGGCUGCAACUGUUUAUUAAAAACACAGCACUGUGCAAACACGAAAGUGGACGUAUACGGUGUGACGCCUGCCCGGUGCCGGAAGGUUAAUUGAUGGGGUCAGCGCAAGCGAAGCUCUUGAUCGAAGCCCCGGUAAACGGCGGCCGUAACUAUAACGGUCCUAAGGUAGCGAAAUUCCUUGUCGGGUAAGUUCCGACCUGCACGAAUGGCGUAAUGAUGGCCAGGCUGUCUCCACCCGAGACUCAGUGAAAUUGAACUCGCUGUGAAGAUGCAGUGUACCCGCGGCAAGACGGAAAGACCCCGUGAACCUUUACUAUAGCUUGACACU